CACAACCAUUGCUUGUGUCAGCAGCACAAAUUGGAAUGAUACACAGAAGAUUAGCACGGUCCAUGCCUAAGGAUGACAUGCAAUUUCAUAAAGCAUUCCAUUAACUA
This is a small nuclear RNA of Mauremys reevesii (Reeves's turtle), 107 nucleotides long. The record is from RefSeq and is a predicted model, not a curated record. Lineage: Eukaryota; Metazoa; Chordata; Testudines; Geoemydidae.